GAUGAACGCUGGCGGCGUGCCUAAUACAUGCAAGUCGAACGAAAAGACGCUGAGCUUGUUCCUUGGACGUUAGCGGCGGGCGGGUGUGUAACGCGUGGAACCUCCACCUAUCAUUCUGGGAUAAUUUCGAGACACCGGCGCUUAUACCGGAUGAGCUGCUGAACCGUGGGGGUCAAUAGAAAAUGACGGCGUUGCUGUCUCUACUAGCUGCUUCCGCGCUGGAUUAGCUAGUUGGUACGGUAACGGCCUACCAAGGCUACGAUGCGUAGCCGACCUGAGAGGGUGAUCGGCCACACUGGAACUGAGACACGGUCCAGACGCCUACGGGAGGCAGCAGUAGGGAAUCGGCGGCAAUGGGCGAAAGCCUGACGGAGCAACGCCGCGUGAGUGAAGAAGGCCUUCGGAUCGUAAAGCCCGGUUAUUGGGGAAGAACAGAUGUGUAAGGAGCUAAGGACGUCUUGACGGUACCUAAUCAGAAAGCCACGGCUAACUACGUG
RNAcentral lists this ribosomal RNA (497 nucleotides) under uncultured bacterium. RNAcentral's name for it is "partial 16S ribosomal RNA". It matches the Rfam family "Bacterial small subunit ribosomal RNA", at positions 28 to 507 of the family's 1533-position model. The record is from RNAcentral.